GCAAUAAUAGCUUAAAUAAGAGCAUUGGUCUUGUAAGCCAAAGGUAAGUUUAAUAUACUUUUAUUGCU
This 68-nucleotide transfer RNA is filed under the name Menathais tuberosa. Its description in RNAcentral is "tRNA-Thr". It matches the Rfam family "tRNA". Rfam says of the family: Transfer RNA (tRNA) molecules are approximately 80 nucleotides in length. The record is from RNAcentral. Lineage: Eukaryota; Metazoa; Mollusca; Gastropoda; Neogastropoda; Muricidae.